UCGGAGCUUUUAUUGUUAAAUAUGCUAGUCCUUUCAUGAUUAUGUGAUAGGUGGUGCAUGGCCGUUCUUAGUUCGUGGAGUGAUCUGUCUGCUUAAUUGCGUUUCACUAUAAGGAUCUAUAUUCUUUACAGUGUGCAGUGCAUUGACCCCUUCUUCGGAAGCGUGUGUCUUUACGCUCACACUUCAUUAGGUCCUGAAAGCAACGAACGUGACCGCAACCUCUUGUUGCCUCUGUGCUCCUACACGCUCAAUGCGCUAAACACUGGUUUUCU
RNAcentral lists this ribosomal RNA (272 nucleotides) under Candeina nitida. RNAcentral describes it as "partial 18S ribosomal RNA". The record is from RNAcentral. Lineage: Eukaryota; Foraminifera; Rotaliida; Candeinidae.